AGUCAGCGCCAGGCGCUUACCGAGGAGGGACGUAUCGCUCGCUGUUGCGCCGCGUAAACUCGCCGGAGUUCGAAAAAUAUAGCGCAACCUACGCAUCUAACACGUUUUGAUACUAGAUAAUGAAAGCAUAUUUAAUUCAGACUAUCAGACUCAAUUGAAUACCAGUACAAAUAAUAUGGAAAAUGAAGAUACAAUACAUGGAAGACGAAUUAUAGAUUUUAGUUUUUUUAUAAAUCAAUUACUUAUAAUUGAUAAACAUGGUGAAAAGUUUGGUUGUCGAUUAAAUAAUUUAAAAAUUGUAAACGAUUACUUGUUUAUUGUAACUCAAUCGAGCUAUUCUAGGUUUUAUAAUUCAUCGGUACAAAUAAUAUUUCAUAAACUAUAAAAACAAUAAAUUAUUUCGGAAAAAAGUG
Molecule: long non-coding RNA, 413 nt
Organism: Helicoverpa zea (corn earworm)
Lineage: Eukaryota; Metazoa; Arthropoda; Insecta; Lepidoptera; Noctuidae
Exons: 3
Source: RefSeq, a predicted model, not a curated record